Molecule: ribosomal RNA, 253 nt
Filed under: uncultured bacterium
Lineage: Bacteria
Description: partial 16S ribosomal RNA
Rfam family: Bacterial small subunit ribosomal RNA
Source: RNAcentral
UACGGAGGGUGCAAACGUUGCUCGGAAUCACUGGGCGUAAAGGGCGCGUAGGCGGCUCAUGAAGGCUGUGGUGAAAGUCCGGGGCUCAACCUCGGAUCGGCCGUGGCGACUCGUGGGCUGGAGCACUGUAGAGGCGGGUGGAAUUCCGGGUGUAGCGGUGGAAUGCGUAGAGAUCCGGAAGAACACCAGUGGCGAAGGCGGCCCGCUGGGCAGUGGCUGACGCUGAGGCGCGACAGCGUGGGGAGCAAACAGG